GACGAACGCUGGCGGCGUGCUUAACACAUGCAAGUCGAACGAAGAGCGAUGGAAGCUUGCUUCUAUCAAUCUUAGUGGCGAACGGGUGAGUAACGCGUAAUCAACCUGCCCUUCAGAGGGGGACAACAGUUGGAAACGACUGCUAAUACCGCAUACGAUCUGACCUCGGCAUCGAGGAUAGAUGAAAGGUGGCCUCUAUUUAUAAGCUAUCACUGAAGGAGGGGAUUGCGUCUGAUUAGCUAGUUGGAGGGGUAACGGCCCAUCAAGGCGAUGAUCAGUAGCCGGUCUGAGAGGAUGAACGGCCACAUUGGGACUGAGACACGGCCCAGACUCCUACGGGAGGCAGCAGUGGGGAAUCUUCCGCAAUGGACGAAAGUCUGACGGAGCAACGCCGCGUGAGUGAUGACGGCCUUCGGGUUGUAAAGCUCUGUUAAUCGGGACGAAAGGCCUUCUUGCGAAUAGUUAGAAGGAUUGACGGUACCGGAAUAGAAAGCCACGGCUAACUACGUG
RNAcentral lists this ribosomal RNA (510 nucleotides) under uncultured bacterium. Its description in RNAcentral is "partial 16S ribosomal RNA". It matches the Rfam family "Bacterial small subunit ribosomal RNA", at positions 28 to 507 of the family's 1533-position model. The record is from RNAcentral.